UUCCUCCUCCACAUCUCUUUCUCCUUGUGACAUGGGUUCUAGAGAAGAAAAGAGAUAGAGGAUCUCUUCUUCUCCCUCUUCCUCCUCUUGUUCUCCAUCAUCUUUGAGAGGGUCUGAGAGAAAAUGAUGAUGAAGUUCUUCAUCAACUAUCAGGAGACAACUUCUGCAAGGGAGCUAGCAUCCUGAUGAAGUUAUGAGCCUUUGAUCGGAUCCAAGGAGCUUGUGUGGAUACUCAUAGAGGCCAGACAUGUGUACAGCUAAUCGAGGGACCUCGGAGUAUACCACGAUCAUCAAUUUGUGGUGAAGAUCAACCCACACAAAGGUAUGAAGAUUAGAUCUUCUUUCCUUAUGUCUUAAAUUUCAAAUUUUGAUUUUCUUAAUCCUAUCCAUCGUAUGAAGAUCCUAUUGCCUGA
This 413-nucleotide long non-coding RNA is filed under the name Elaeis guineensis (African oil palm). RNAcentral's name for it is "long non-coding RNA (EGUI_LNC037061)". Lineage: Eukaryota; Viridiplantae; Streptophyta; Magnoliopsida; Arecales; Arecaceae. The record is from RNAcentral.